AUGGCGUCCGUGCCCGCCUCCUGCCCGCGCCCGCCGCAGGCCGCCGUCCGCCGCCUCCUCCCGCUGCCGCUCCAGCUCCGGCUCGUCUGCCGCCUGCGGAGGCUGCCGCUCCCGCUGCUAGGCCUCUCCGCCGCCGCGCGGAGGGGGGAGGCGCUCCCGCGGGCCGCGGAGGGGGGCGACGGGCGGGCCGCGGCCAAGGAGAAGGAGGUGGAUGAGGAGGACGAGGAGGAGGAUGUGGGAGGGAGGGAGGCGGGCGAGGACGACGGGGCUCGGGAGGCGGAGGGCGCGGGGGCGGCGAGGGGCUCCGGGCGGUUCGCCGCCGACUACAUCUCGCUUGGCAUCAGGGAGCCCGUCUACGAGGUGGUAGAAGUGAAAGCUAAUGGAAGCGUGUCUACCGAAAAAAUAAGCCGCCGGCAGCUACUGAAAUCAAGUGGCCUCCGUCUACGAGAUACAAGAAGCGUUGACCCGUCACUAUGGCUAAUGAAUUCAAUGCCUUCCCUGCUGGUACGUGAACAGGCCAUAUUACUCAACCUUGGUUCCUUGCGAGCAAUUGCUAUGCAUGAACGUGUCCUUAUAUUCAAUUAUAACAGCCCAGGAGGAAAGGUCUUUUUAGAGCUAUUACGACCUCGGUUAAAUCCAAGGAACAUCAAUGGUGGGCCUGCAAUGCCUUUUCAACUUGAGGUUGUUGAAGCUGCAUUGCUUUCUAGAAUACAAAGGCUGGAACGAAGAUUAAUGCAUGUUGAACCUCGUGUGGCUACAUUGCUUGAAGUUCUACCAAAUCGGUUGACAGGUGAUGUUUUGGAGCAGCUUCGUCUAAGCAAACAAUCAUUGGUCGAGCUGGGUUCACGGGCAGGUGAUCUUAAACAAAUGCUCAUCGAUCUCCUUGAAGAUCCCCAUGAAAUUCGUCGAAUAUGCAUUAUGGGGAGAAAUUGUACACUAGAUAAAGUGAGUGAUGAUAUGGAAUGUUCUGUUCCAUUAGAAAAGCAAGUUGCCGAAGAGGAAGAGGAAGAAAUUGAGAUGCUAUUGGAAAAUUACCUUCAAAGAUGUGAAUCAUGCCAUGGUCAAGCAGAGAGGCUUCUUGAUUCUGCAAGAGAAAUGGAAGAUUCAAUUGCAGUGAACUUAAGUUCCCGACGACUGGAAGUGAGCAGAGUGGAGUUGCUUCUUCAGGUCGGAACAUUUUGCGUCGCUGUAGGAGCAUUAAUCGCAGGGAUAUUCGGCAUGAACCUCAAAUCAUACCUGGAGAACAACACGUGGGCAUUUUGGGCGACGACUGGCGGAAUAGCAGUCGGAGCAGUAGCCGGGUUUUUCAUCAUGUACAAGUACCUAAAGGAUAGGAAGAUAUUGUAA
This 1347-nucleotide ribosomal RNA is filed under the name Triticum aestivum (bread wheat). RNAcentral's name for it is "partial small subunit ribosomal RNA". The record is from RNAcentral. Lineage: Eukaryota; Viridiplantae; Streptophyta; Magnoliopsida; Poales; Poaceae.